This 337-nucleotide long non-coding RNA is filed under the name Pelobates cultripes (western spadefoot toad). Lineage: Eukaryota; Metazoa; Chordata; Amphibia; Anura; Pelobatidae. The record is from RNAcentral.
CCUGUCACUCAGCCACUGUCUUACCCAUUAAACAAUAUUGGAAUUCAAACUUAAAGAUUGCAGUUUAUUGAUGAGCCUUCUAUGUGCAACAAUGUCCAAAGCCUUACUGAAAUCUAGGUAAGAAAUGUCUACUGCACCAACCUGAUCUAUUAUUUUAGUUACCCAAUCAAAAAAAAAAAUCAAUAAGAUUAGUUUGGCAUGAUCUCCCUGAAGUAAACCCAUGUUGUCUCUGAUCUUGAAAUCCAUGUGAUUUUAUAUGUUCAACAAUCCAAUCCUUUAACAUGGUUUCCAUCACUUUCCCCACUACUGAAGUAAGGCUUACUGGCCUAUAGUUGCC